AAGGUUGUAAGGCAAGAGACGAGUGUAAAACUACAAACUUCUGUCCUGUUCGUGCAGAGGGUAGCGUUUGUGCGAAAUUUGGCUGCUGCACCUAUGACCGCUGUGUAGCCAAUUACACCUUGGGUGCAGACUUUGAAACCCCUACCCCGACACCCUCCACCACCCAAAAACCACUUAUGGCAAAAUCAUCCUCCCUCGAACCUUCGUCAUCUGUCCAGUAGCGCCGUCAGGAUCUAUUUUUGGAGGGGCAAAUCCGAGUGCCGAAGGCACGAGCCUACUAGGGAGGUUCGGGGGUAUGCCCCCCCGAGAAAAUUUUGAAUUUGGGGUGUCUAAAACCGCAUUUCCUGCGUUUUGGAAGCACUUUAAGAGAAACAUAAAGGUUUUAAUAAAUCACUUUUUUAGUAGAUCGGAACAUAAAUGAUUUCCAUACAAUAUAUGAAUCAAAUGUAUUUUUAAUAAAACCAAGAAUGAAAUGAAGAAUUUAAUGUUAUAAUACAUAUUUAGUACAAGUUCCAUCUUAUAAAUUAAGCAUACUUAAAACCCCUUAUUAUAUUCAG
Paramuricea clavata is the source of this 557-nucleotide non-coding RNA. The record is from the annotation of a GenBank genome assembly. Lineage: Eukaryota; Metazoa; Cnidaria; Anthozoa; Malacalcyonacea; Plexauridae.